Molecule: ribosomal RNA, 231 nt
Filed under: uncultured beta proteobacterium
Lineage: Bacteria; Pseudomonadati; Pseudomonadota; Betaproteobacteria
Description: partial 16S ribosomal RNA
Rfam family: Bacterial small subunit ribosomal RNA
Source: RNAcentral
UUUGACAUGUACGGAAUUCGCCAGAGAUGGCUUAGUGCUCGAAAGAGAACCGUAACACAGGUGCUGCAUGGCUGUCGUCAGCUCGUGUCGUGAGAUGUAGGGUUAAGUCCCGCAACGAGCGCAACCCUUGUCAUUAGUUGCUACAUUCAGUUGGGCACUCUAAUGAGACUGCCGGUGACAAGCCGGAGGAAGGUGGGGAUGACGUCAAGUCCUCAUGGCCCUUAUAGGUGG